Molecule: ribosomal RNA, 253 nt
Filed under: uncultured bacterium
Lineage: Bacteria
Description: partial 16S ribosomal RNA
Rfam family: Bacterial small subunit ribosomal RNA
Source: RNAcentral
UACGUAGGGGGCAAGCGUUGUCCGGAUUUAUUGGGCGUAAAGAGCGUGUAGGCGGCCAUGUAGGUCCGUUGUGAAAACUCGAGGCUCAACCUCGAGACGCCGAUGGAAACCAUGUGGCUAGAGUCCGGAAGAGGAGAGUGGAAUUCCUGGUGUAGCGGUGAAAUGCGCAGAUAUCAGGAGGAACACCGGUGGCGAAGGCGGUGGUCUGGGCCGGCACUGACGCUGAGGAGCGAAAGCGUGGGGAGCAAACAGG